Molecule: ribosomal RNA, 440 nt
Filed under: uncultured bacterium
Lineage: Bacteria
Description: partial 16S ribosomal RNA
Rfam family: Bacterial small subunit ribosomal RNA
Source: RNAcentral
CCUACGGGGGGCUGCAGUGGGGAAUAUUGGACAAUGGGCGCAAGCCUGAUCCAGCCAUGCCGCGUGAGUGAUGAAGGCCCUAGGGUUGUAAAGCUCUUUUGUGCGGGAAGAUAAUGACGGUACCGCAAGAAUAAGCCCCGGCUAACUUCGUGCCAGCAGCCGCGGUAAUACGAAGGGGGCUAGCGUUGCUCGGAAUCACUGGGCGUAAAGGGUGCGUAGGCGGGAUCUUAAGUCAGAGGUGAAAGCCUGGAGCUCAACUCCAGAACUGCCGUUGAUACUGGGAUUCUUGAGUUCGGGAGAGGUGAGCGGAACUGCGAGUGUAGAGGUGAAAUUCGUAGAUAUUCGCAAGAACACCAGUGGCGAAGGCGGCUCACUGGCCCGAUACUGACGCUGAGGCACGAAAGCGUGGGUAGCAAACAGGAUUAGAUACCCGGGUAGUC